Molecule: ribosomal RNA, 245 nt
Filed under: uncultured bacterium
Lineage: Bacteria
Description: partial 16S ribosomal RNA
Rfam family: Bacterial small subunit ribosomal RNA
Source: RNAcentral
UACGUAGGGGGCGAGCGUUGUCCGGAGUUACUGGGCGUAAAGCGCACGCAGGCGGUCGUGCCCGUUUCUUCUGACAGAUCCCGGCUCAACUGGGGUAGGCGGAGAAAGACGACACGACUUGAGGACUUGAGAGGGACGUGGAAUUCCAGGUGGAGCGGUGAAAUGCGUAGAGAUCUGGAAGAACACCGAAGGCGAAGGCAGCGUCCUGGCAAGUGACUGACGCUCAUGUGCGAAAGCUAGGGGAG